UUGAACGCUGGCGGCAUGCCUUACACAUGCAAGUCGCACGGCAGCACGGGUGCUUGCACCUGGUGGCGAGUGGCGAACGGGUGAGUAAUACAUCGGAACAUGUCCUGUAGUGGGGGAUAGCCCGGCGAAAGCCGGAUUAAUACCGCAUACGAUCCACGGAUGAAAGCGGGGGACCUUCGGGCCUCGCGCUAUAGGGUUGGCCGAUGGCUGAUUAGCUAGUUGGUGGGGUAAAGGCCUACCAAGGCGACGAUCAGUAGCUGGUCUGAGAGGACGACCAGCCACACUGGGACUGAGACACGGCCCAGACUCCUACGGGAGGCAGCAGUGGGGAAUUUUGGACAAAGGGCGAAAGCCUGAUCCAGCAAUGCCGCGUGUGUGAAGAAGGCCUUCGGGUUGUAAAGCACUUUUGUCCGGAAAGAAAUCCUUGACUCUAAUACAGUCGGGGGAUGACGGUACCGGAAGAAUAAGCACCGGCUAACUACGUG
This 485-nucleotide ribosomal RNA is filed under the name uncultured bacterium. Its description in RNAcentral is "partial 16S ribosomal RNA". It matches the Rfam family "Bacterial small subunit ribosomal RNA", at positions 30 to 507 of the family's 1533-position model. The record is from RNAcentral.